UACGUAGGGGGCAAGCGUUGUCCGGAUUUAUUGGGCGUAAAGAGCUCGUAGGCGGCUUGGCAAGUCGGGUGUGAAAGCCCCGGGCUCAACCUGGGAAUUGCAUUCGAGACUGAAUAGCUAGGGUACGGUAGAGGGAAGUGGAAUUUCCGGUGUAGCGGUGAAAUGCGUAGAUAUCGGAAGGAACAUCAGUGGCGAAAGCGACUUCCUGGACCAGUACCGACGUUCAGGCACGAAAGCGUGGGGAGCAAACAGG
RNAcentral lists this ribosomal RNA (253 nucleotides) under uncultured bacterium. Its description in RNAcentral is "partial 16S ribosomal RNA". It matches the Rfam family "Bacterial small subunit ribosomal RNA", at positions 524 to 776 of the family's 1533-position model. The record is from RNAcentral.